RNAcentral lists this ribosomal RNA (492 nucleotides) under uncultured bacterium. Its description in RNAcentral is "partial 16S ribosomal RNA". It matches the Rfam family "Bacterial small subunit ribosomal RNA", at positions 29 to 507 of the family's 1533-position model. The record is from RNAcentral.
AGUGAACGCUGGCGGUAGGCCUAACACAUGCAAGUCGAACGGCAGCACAGUAAGAGCUUGCUCUUACGGGUGGCGAGUGGCGGACGGGUGAGGAAUACAUCGGAAUCUACUUUUUCGUGGGGGAUAACGUAGGGAAACUUACGCUAAUACCGCAUACGACCUACGGGUGAAAGCAGGGGAUCUUCGGACCUUGCGCGAUUGAAUGAGCCGAUGUCGGAUUAGCUAGUUGGCGGGGUAAAGGCCCACCAAGGCGACGAUCCGUAGCUGGUCUGAGAGGAUGAUCAGCCACACUGGAACUGAGACACGGUCCAGACUCCUACGGGAGGCAUCAGUGGGGAAUAUUGGACAAUGGGCGCAAGCCUGAUCCAGCCAUACCGCGUGGGUGAAGAAGGCCUUCGGGUUGUAAAGCCCUUUUGUUGGGAAAGAAAAGCAGCAGGUUAAUACCCCGCUGUUCUGACGGUACCCAAAGAAUAAGCGCCGGCUAACUUCGUG